AGUGUCUUGAGCUUUGCAUGCACAUGUAACAUCUUCAUUAUGUGCUCUCUAAUUUUUUUAUUUCCCUUAUACUUUAUGGAAACAAGAGUCGACAGAAGUGUACAUGCUUCGGCUUUAUCACUUAUGGCAAAACGUUGUUCUAGAAAAUGAAAAAAAUCUCUAGUUAUUGUGAUUUUAUCGGACAUAAUGCCCCGAAAAAUAUUUAGAAUGACUUAUUCUGUAACUAACAUACUCAUACGGUUUGACCGAUCUCAUCUUUCAAACUCCUUCUUUUCCUCAAGGGUGCUGUUAGGAGUAAUUGGAUAAGUUUGAUCAACCUGUAAAACCUAAUCCAGAUCCAUAACUCUACGUACAAGUCGAACACUAUUCUUCCAUUGCUUGAAAUUCGUGUUGUUCAAUAUUGGGAUGGAAUUAACAUUCGCAGUGAUACUUCCAGUAAAAAAGAAAGCUGAACAGAGA
RNAcentral lists this long non-coding RNA (459 nucleotides) under Carica papaya (papaya). RNAcentral's name for it is "long non-coding RNA (CPAP_LNC010717)". Lineage: Eukaryota; Viridiplantae; Streptophyta; Magnoliopsida; Brassicales; Caricaceae. The record is from RNAcentral.